This 528-nucleotide ribosomal RNA is filed under the name uncultured glomeraceous AM fungus. RNAcentral's name for it is "SSU rRNA". It matches the Rfam family "Eukaryotic small subunit ribosomal RNA", at positions 569 to 1098 of the family's 1831-position model. Lineage: Eukaryota; Fungi; Glomeromycota; Glomeromycetes; Glomerales; Glomeraceae. The record is from RNAcentral.
AGCAGCCGCGGUAAUUCCAGCUCCAAUAGCGUAUAUUAAAGUUGUUGCAGUUAAAAAGCUCGUAGUUGAAUUUCGGGAUCAAUAUGUCGGUCGUGCCUUCGGUACGUACUGGUAUCAUUGGUUUCUCCUUUCUGACGAACCAUGAUGUCAUUAAUUUGGUGUUAUGGGGAGUUAGGACUGUUACUUUGAAAAAAUUAGAGUGUUUAAAGCAGGCUUUAGCUUGAAUACAUUAGCAUGGAAUAAUGAAAUAGGACGUUCGAACCUAUUUUGUUGGUUUCUAGGAUCAACGUAAUGAUUAAUAGGGAUAGUUGGGGGCAUUAGUAUUCAAUUGUCAGAGGUGAAAUUCUUGGAUUUAUUGAAGACUAACUACUGCGAAAGCAUUUGCCAAGGAUGUUUUCAUUAAUCAAGAACGAAAGUUAGGGGAUCGAAGACGAUCAGAUACCGUCGUAGUCUUAACCAUAAACUAUGCCGACUAGGGAUCGGAUGAUGUUAAUUUUUUAAUGACUCAUUCGGCGCCUUACGGGAAAC